Molecule: long non-coding RNA, 497 nt
Organism: Hipposideros armiger (great roundleaf bat)
Lineage: Eukaryota; Metazoa; Chordata; Mammalia; Chiroptera; Hipposideridae
Exons: 2
Source: RefSeq, a predicted model, not a curated record
CCAGAGCAGAUUUAUUAUGCUGGCCCUGUCAACAAUCUUGGAUUUGAAAUUCCCAAGGGAGAAUACGAGGUUUUGAUGAGACUGUAUAAUGAAAACGAUUUCAUGGUGGCCUGUGCCAAUGCCACCGUCAUACGUUUCUGAGCAUCUCAAAAGCACAGCAAUCUGUCUCAUGGGAACUCUGAGCUCCUCAUGGGAACUCUGAGUUCUUGCACCUACUAUGUAAGAAGAACCAGCUGACAACAGAGAGAGCCUCUACAAGGGUAGCCUAGAGUGCAGGCUCUGACUUUAACCCCAGGACCAGGAAGCCGCAGACGCCGCAGAUGCAAUGAAGCACCUGAACUUUCCUGCUUCUAAGGAGCCAACUCUCCUGGUAGUCACUAUGCAGUCUUGAGGGUCCAUCCUUUUUCUCUACAUGGUACCUCACACCAGAUGUCCCUGCUUUUCAGCUCCUAGGAGCACUUCCUCAGUUACCCAGAAUAAAGAAAGGUGGCUCACAA